RNAcentral lists this transfer RNA (76 nucleotides) under Arachnoides sp. NO1. Its description in RNAcentral is "tRNA-Thr". It matches the Rfam family "tRNA". Rfam says of the family: Transfer RNA (tRNA) molecules are approximately 80 nucleotides in length. Their secondary structure includes four short double-helical elements and three loops (D, anti-codon, and T loops). Further hydrogen bonds mediate the characteristic L-shaped molecular structure. tRNAs have two regions of fundamental functional importance: the anti-codon, which is responsible for specific mRNA codon recognition, and the 3' end, to which the tRNAs corresponding amino acid is attached (by aminoacyl-tRNA synthetases). tRNAs cope with the degeneracy of the genetic code in two manners: having more than one tRNA (with a specific anti-codon) for a particular amino acid; and 'wobble' base-pairing, i.e. permitting non-standard base-pairing at the 3rd anti-codon position. The record is from RNAcentral. Lineage: Eukaryota; Metazoa; Echinodermata; Echinoidea; Clypeasteroida; Clypeasteridae.
GAUACGUCUUGGAAGCUCUGCGUAGAGCAACUGGUCUUGUAAACCAGUAGGGAGGGUUAGAAUCCCUACCAAGACU